RNAcentral lists this ribosomal RNA (301 nucleotides) under uncultured bacterium. RNAcentral's name for it is "partial 16S ribosomal RNA". It matches the Rfam family "Bacterial small subunit ribosomal RNA", at positions 509 to 807 of the family's 1533-position model. The record is from RNAcentral.
CAGUCGCCACGGGAAUACGAAGGGUGCAAGCGUUAAUCGGAAUUACUGGACGUAAAGCGUGCGUAGGCGGUGAGUUAAGUCUGCUGUGAAAUCCCCGGGCUCAACCUGGGAAUGGCAGUGGAUACUGGCUCGCUAGAGUGUGUCAGAGGAUGGUGGAAUUCCCGGUGUAGCGGUGAAAUGCGUAGAUAUUGGGAAGAACACCGGUGGCGAAGGCGGCAACCUGGCUCAUUACUGACGCUGAGGCGCGAAAGCGUGGGGAGCAAACAGGAUUAGAUACCCGGGUAGUCCCUGUCUCUUAUAC